UACGGAGGGUGCAAGCGUUAUCCGGAUUCACUGGGUUUAAAGGGUGCGUAGGCGGAUAGGUAAGUCCGUGGUGAAAUCCUGCAGCUUAACUGCAGAACUGCCAUGGAUACUAUCUAUCUUGAAUGUCGUGGAGGUUAGCGGAAUAUGUCAUGUAGCGGUGAAAUGCUUAGAGAUGACAUAGAACACCCAUUGCGAAGGCAGCUAACUACGCGAUAAUUGACGCUGAUGCACGAAAGCGUGGGGAGCGAACAGG
This 253-nucleotide ribosomal RNA is filed under the name uncultured bacterium. Its description in RNAcentral is "partial 16S ribosomal RNA". It matches the Rfam family "Bacterial small subunit ribosomal RNA", at positions 524 to 776 of the family's 1533-position model. The record is from RNAcentral.